This 433-nucleotide long non-coding RNA is filed under the name Monodelphis domestica (gray short-tailed opossum). Its description in RNAcentral is "lncRNA (ENSMODG00000044756.1)". Lineage: Eukaryota; Metazoa; Chordata; Mammalia; Didelphimorphia; Didelphidae. The record is from RNAcentral.
CUUGAAAUCACAUUAGUUGUAUUAUCAAGGGGGAAAAUUUGGAAAAUGUGGAUCUGCCACUCAUACUUCCCUGCCCUGAUAAUGUUUUCAGCAUCUAACAGAUCAUAUAUUAAGUCACUAACCAGAUUAGCCACCUGCUCCGCAUUUCUAGGACUCACCACCUUUCCCAUGAUGCUCCACUUCAGCUCAAAGACACCAGACUUUGGGACAACGGUUGUCUCCUCAAGCCUUCGUUUUCUGGAGAGCCACUUACCAAACAAGCUGGGUUACUGUAUCUCAUGGAAACUUCCAAGAUGUAGUUAUCUGUAAGCUCUCUGAGUGCUGGAACCUGAAAAGCCAUCGGGAGUCAUCAUCUCAAUUGACACUUUUACAAAUCAUUCUGUACCCACCUAAUAAUAAUAAUAACAAUAAAUAACGAUGAUGAUAAUUAGCA